Molecule: ribosomal RNA, 526 nt
Filed under: uncultured bacterium
Lineage: Bacteria
Description: bacterial SSU rRNA
Rfam family: Bacterial small subunit ribosomal RNA
Source: RNAcentral
AAUAGAUACCCCGGUAGUCCAUGCCGUAAACGUUGGGCGCUAGAUGUGGGGACCAUUCCACGGUUUCCGUGUCGCAGCUAACGCAUUAAGCGCCCCGCCUGGGGAGUACGGCCGCAAGGCUAAAACUCAAAGGAAUUGACGGGGGCCCGCACAAGCAGCGGAGCAUGCGGAUUAAUUCGAUGCAACGCGAAGAACCUUACCAAGGCUUGACAUAUACGAGAACGCUCUAGAAAUAGAGAACUCUUUGGACACUCGUAUACAGGUGGUGCAUGGUUGUCGUCAGCUCGUGUCGUGAGAUGUUGGGUUAAGUCCCGCAACGAGCGCAACCCUCGUUCUAUGUUGCCAGCGGUUCGGCCGGGAACUCAUAGGAGACUGCCGGGGUCAACUCGGAGGAAGGUGGGGAUGACGUCAAAUCAUCAUGCCCCUUAUGUCUUGGGCUUCACGCAUGCUACAAUGGCCGGUACAAAGGGCUGCGAACCCGCGAGGGGAGCUAAUCCCAAAAAGCCGUCUCAGUUCGGAUUGCACU